UGGGGAAUAUUGCACAAUGGGCGCAAGCCUGAUCCAGCCAUCCCGCGUGUGCGAUGAAGGCCUUCGGGUUGUAAAGCACUUUUGGCAGGAAAGAAACGUCGCGGGUUAAUACCCCGCGAAACUGACGGUACCUGCAGAAUAAGCACCGGCUAACUACGUGCCAGCAGCCGCGGUAAUACGUAGGGUGCAAGCGUUAAUCGGAAUUACUGGGCGUAAAGCGUGCGCAGGCGGUUCGGAAAGAAAGAUGUGAAAUCCCAGAGCUUAACUUUGGAACUGCAUUUUUAACUACCGGGCUAGAGUGUGUCAGAGGGAGGUGGAAUUCCGCGUGUAGCAGUGAAAUGCGUAGAUAUGCGGAGGAACACCGAUGGCGAAGGCAGCCUCCUGGGAUAACACUGACGCUCAUGCACGAAAGCGUGGGGAGCAAACAGGAUUAGAUACCCUGGUAGUCCACGCCCUAAACGAUGUCAACUAGCUGUUGGGGCCUUCGGGCCUUGGUAGCGCAGCUAACGCGUGAAGUUGACCGCCUGGGGAGUACGGUCGCAAGAUU
RNAcentral lists this ribosomal RNA (547 nucleotides) under uncultured bacterium. RNAcentral's name for it is "partial 16S ribosomal RNA". It matches the Rfam family "Bacterial small subunit ribosomal RNA", at positions 355 to 895 of the family's 1533-position model. The record is from RNAcentral.